This 468-nucleotide ribosomal RNA is filed under the name uncultured bacterium. RNAcentral's name for it is "partial 16S ribosomal RNA". It matches the Rfam family "Bacterial small subunit ribosomal RNA", at positions 28 to 507 of the family's 1533-position model. The record is from RNAcentral.
GACGAACGCUGGCGGCGUGCUUAACACAUGCAAGUCGAACGGAAAGGCCCUGCUUUUGUGGGGUGCUCGAGUGGCGAACGGGUGAGUAACACGUGAGUAACCUGCCCUUGACUUGGGGAUAACUUCAGGAAACUGGGGCUAAUACCGGAUAGGAGCUCCUGCUGCAUGGUGGGGGUUGGAAAGUUUCGGCGGUUGGGGAUGGACUCGCGGCUUAUCAGCUUGUUGGUGGGGUAGUGGCUUACCAAGGCUUUGACGGGUAGCCGGCCUGAGAGGGUGACCGGCCACCUUGGGACUGCGAUACGGCCCAGACUCCUACGGGAGGCAGCAGUGGGGAAUAUUGUACAAUGGGCGGAAGCCUGAUGCAGCAACGCCGCGUGCGGGAUGACGGCCUUCGGGUUGUAAACCGCUUUCGCCUGUGACGAAGCGUGAGUGACGGUAAUGGGUAAAGAAGCACCGGCUAACUACGUG